GACAGAGGGGGCAAGCGUUGCUCGGAAUUACUGGGCGUAAAGGGCGCGUAGGCGGGAUGGCAAGUCGGUCGUGAAAUCCCUCGGCUCAACUGAGGAUCGUCGAUCGAUACUGCCGUUCUUGAGGAUUGCAGAGGAGACUGGAAUUCCCGGUGUAGCGGUGAAAUGUGUAGAGAUCGGGAGGAACGCCGGUGGCGAAGGCGGGUCUCUGGGCAAUUCCUGACGCUGAGGCGCGAAAGCGUGGGGAGCAAACGGG
Molecule: ribosomal RNA, 253 nt
Filed under: uncultured bacterium
Lineage: Bacteria
Description: partial 16S ribosomal RNA
Rfam family: Bacterial small subunit ribosomal RNA
Source: RNAcentral